This 471-nucleotide ribosomal RNA is filed under the name uncultured Trichosporon. Its description in RNAcentral is "eukaryotic LSU rRNA". The stretch from base 106 to 259 matches the Rfam family "5.8S ribosomal RNA". The record is from RNAcentral. Lineage: Eukaryota; Fungi; Basidiomycota; Tremellomycetes.
GCUUACUAUAUCCACAUACACCUGUGAACUGUUCUACUACUUGACGCAAGUCGAGUAUUUUUACAAACAAUGUGUAAUGAACGUCGUUUUAUUAUAACAAAAUAAAACUUUCAACAACGGAUCUCUUGGCUCUCGCAUCGAUGAAGAACGCAGCGAAUUGCGAUAAGUAAUGUGAAUUGCAGAAUUCAGUGAAUCAUCGAAUCUUUGAACGCAGCUUGCGCUCUCUGGUAUUCCGGAGAGCAUGCCUGUUUCAGUGUCAUGAAAUCUCAACCACUAGGGUUUCCUAAUGGAUUGGAUUUGGGUGUUGCGAUCUCUGAUCGCUCGCCUUAAAAGAGUUAGCAAGUUUGACAUAUAUGUCUGGUGUAAUAAGUUUCACUGGGUCCAUUGUGUUGAAGCGUGCUUCUAAUCGUCCGCAAGGACAAUUACUUUGACUCUGGCCUGAAAUCAGGUAGGACUACCCGCUGAACUUAA